Molecule: ribosomal RNA, 445 nt
Filed under: uncultured bacterium
Lineage: Bacteria
Description: partial 16S ribosomal RNA
Rfam family: Bacterial small subunit ribosomal RNA
Source: RNAcentral
GUGAGGAAUAUUGGUCAAUGGGCGGGAGCCUGAACCAGCCAAGUCGCGUGAAGGAAGAAGGAUCUAUGGUUCGUAGACUUCUUUUGCAGGGGAAUAAAGUGCAGGAUGUGUACUGUUUUGUAUGUACCCUGAGAAUAAGGAUCGGCUAACUCCGUGCCAGCAGCCGCGGUAAUACGGAGGAUCCGAGCGUUAUCCGGAUUUAUUGGGUUUAAAGGGUGCGUAGGUGGUUUGAUAAGUCAGCGGUGAAAGUUUGCAGCUUAACUGUAAAAAUGCCGUUGAAACUGUCGGACUUGAGUGUAAAUGAGGUAGGCGGAAUGCGUGGUGUAGCGGUGAAAUGCAUAGAUAUCACGCAGAACUCCGAUUGCGAAGGCAGCUUACUAAGCUACAACUGACACUGAAGCACGAAAGCGUGGGGAUCAAACAGGAUUAGAAACCCCUGUAGUCC